RNAcentral lists this ribosomal RNA (251 nucleotides) under uncultured bacterium. RNAcentral describes it as "partial 16S ribosomal RNA". It matches the Rfam family "Bacterial small subunit ribosomal RNA", at positions 524 to 776 of the family's 1533-position model. The record is from RNAcentral.
UACGAAGGGGGCUAGCGUUGCUCGGAAUCACUGGGCGUAAAGGCGCGUAGGCGGCCGAUCAAGUCAGGGGUGAAAGCCUGUGGCUCAACCACAGAAUUGCCUUUAAUACUGUUCGGCUCGAGACCGGAAGAGGUAAGUGGAACUGCGAGUGUAGAGGUGAAAUUCGUGAGAUUAUCAAGAACACCAGUGGCGAAGGCGACUUCCUGGCCUGUUCUUGACGCUGAGGCGCGAAAGCUAGGGGAGCAAACGGG